Molecule: small RNA, 75 nt
Filed under: Halpernia frigidisoli
Lineage: Bacteria; Pseudomonadati; Bacteroidota; Flavobacteriia; Flavobacteriales; Weeksellaceae
Description: Chryseobacterium frigidisoli Flavo-1 RNA
Source: RNAcentral
UCUGCAGCCCGACUUGAGUGGAAAUCCUUUUUUUUCAUUUGAAAAAAAGAUUGGGAACGGAUGGCGGAAAUGUCU